This 117-nucleotide non-coding RNA is filed under the name Oceanospirillales bacterium. RNAcentral's name for it is "Glycine sequence". It matches the Rfam family "Glycine riboswitch aptamer". Rfam says of the family: This family represents the bacterial glycine riboswitch. Glycine riboswitches usually consist of two metabolite-binding aptamers domains with similar structures in tandem. Lineage: Bacteria; Pseudomonadati; Pseudomonadota; Gammaproteobacteria; Oceanospirillales. The record is from RNAcentral. RNAcentral also lists the same sequence under 1 other name.
GGACGGGCCUCUGGAGAGAUCCGGUGCAAAACCGGACGCCGAAGGAGCAAAAACGGUUUUUUAACAAUACUUAAAAAACUGUUUGAAACUCUCAGGCAAAAGGACAGGGGACAGGCU